This is a non-coding RNA of Chlamydotis undulata (Houbara bustard), 90 nucleotides long. Lineage: Eukaryota; Metazoa; Chordata; Aves; Otidiformes; Otididae. The record is from Rfam.
GCUGGUGUAAGUGAUGACAAUUUUUUUCCCCAUCAGAGCGACAGUGUUGAUUUCUCACUAUUUAAGCCAGAUCAUGUCUGAUGCACCAGC